AACCGAGAGCAAACGUUCAAAACAAGCGCAUGCGUUCAGCUUGUAUCAUGCUUCGUCGUCAUCGAUUUGCAACUGCGUAGAACAGUUGCAAUCAGCCCUCUGCUUUCCCGAUAAGGCUGACACAGACCUACGUACAAGUGGCUCUGGCCAGCAGUCUGUAGAGGUCUGUUAGCUACUGAUCUAAACAGUCAUCAAAACCUCGCUUCGCGGAACAUCUCAACAAGUCCUUCCCCCAAGAUGAAAUUACUAGCCGUCGUUCUGGUAACACUUUCUGUUCUCCCUGUUGUCCACCUAGCGCCGAGGUACUUCAAUGGAGAGCGCCAUUUCUCCAGGAUUCGACUAUGUUGCCAUCUGGCGGAUUAGUACCGAUGACGUCGUAGUGGCGCGGCGCGGUGACUGUCCCUGGUCGCCUCACAAAAGCAGCGAAGCACGCGUAUAGAUCCAGUCGGUUAUUAUGUCACACACAAGGUAGCUUACGAUUAGAGUGCGGAGGAUCUUGCUAUAAGAGAUGCACAAUCACUGGCGAAGAAACAGAGGUGGUAAGGGGCUGUGCAUCUCCGAAGAGAAACGAUACCUGUA
This is a long non-coding RNA of Macrobrachium nipponense, 579 nucleotides long. RefSeq lists it as uncharacterized. The transcript is spliced from 5 exons. NCBI's taxonomy places the organism in Eukaryota, Metazoa, Arthropoda, Malacostraca, Decapoda, Palaemonidae. The record is from RefSeq and is a predicted model, not a curated record.